UACAGAGGGGGCGAGCGUUGUUCGGAAUUACUGGGCGUAAAGGGCGCGUAGGCGGCCUUCUAAGUCGAACGUGAAAUCCCCGGGCUCAACCCGGGAACUGCGUCCGAUACUGGAAGGCUUGAAUCCGGGAGAGGGAUGCGGAAUUCCAGGUGUAGCGGUGAAAUGCGUAGAUAUCUGGAGGAACACCGGUAGCGAAGGCGGCAUCCUGGACCGGUAUUGACGCUGAGGCGCGAAAGCCAGGGGAGCAAACGGG
Molecule: ribosomal RNA, 253 nt
Filed under: uncultured bacterium
Lineage: Bacteria
Description: partial 16S ribosomal RNA
Rfam family: Bacterial small subunit ribosomal RNA
Source: RNAcentral